Molecule: long non-coding RNA, 1949 nt
Organism: Anoplophora glabripennis (Asian longhorned beetle)
Lineage: Eukaryota; Metazoa; Arthropoda; Insecta; Coleoptera; Cerambycidae
Exons: 3
Source: RefSeq, a predicted model, not a curated record
UUAUCCCAUCAUCAAAUUCAAAAUCAUUUAUAACAUGUAAAAACUUUUCCAUUUUUCUCCUUCAAAAAUUAUUCAAGUAAAUUUUCUAUCCCAAUAUUUAACAGCUUUUGUGAUAUAAAAUAUAUAAUAUAAACUCUCUGAUAUUUUCAAUCUGUCAACAAUUAAUUAUAUAUAGAGAAAUAUUCCAGUAGAUAAAAAUUACAGAAUGUAUUUAAAAUAUCAGUCCAUAUUAUAAAUAUGAUUUAUUAUUCUUUUAAUAUAUUUAUAUAAUUUAUUUUUUAGACAAAAAACCUUAAAUUUGUCAUUCUGUGUCUAUUUAUAAUAUUUCGCACAUUUCACAUAUUAUAUAUUUUAUAGUAUCUAUAGUAAUACUUUUUUUUCAAAUUUGUACAAACACAUUGUAAUUACUUUAUUACUAUUUACUACUUAAUACCAAUCUAAUAAUUUAACCACCAUUAUCUACUCCCAGACCUCUUGGAUACACAGGACUAUAAGAAUUGCAGUCUUCUUUCACAAUUUUGAUAAUAUCGCCACAUAUAAAAAUCUACAAAGCAUUCUUACAUCUAACACCACCACAAAUAUUUAAAAUUGAAAUUACACAUCGUCUGCAAACUAAAACACAUCGGAUAAGAAACUACAACAUCUACAGUUUUAGAAGAAAUUAAAAUCUGGCCUAUAUACAAAAAUAUACUGAUAUUGACCAUACUUCAAGAAAAAAGAAUUUUACUAAUAUCCGUAACACAUCAAUGAAGAUAUAAACUAUUUUUACCAUAACAUAUCGGAACAUAUCGGAAAAACAGUGAACUCCAAUGCUUCGAUGUAAAGAUACAUCCCACAUACAUACGGAGAAAUCGCAGAAACAAGAAUUCAUAGUACAAGAUCAGUUGCAACAAAACCUUAGUGGAAAUAUCGCUGAAUAUAUCGUCAAUGAAGAAGAACAAAACUAAAGGGAUUGAUACCACCAGUUACAAAAACCAAUAGGGAACAUCUCCAAAGACCACCAUUGUUUGAAGAGCGAUUCCCUUCAUAACGAUAUUCAAUCAACAACAAGAACAGAAACAGACAUCCCGAUAAGCCUACAAUUAUCAUAUCAAGUCCACCCCACAGAGCCUAACCCAACAACAAGGGCAAGUUAAAGGUUCUUAGCUAUGACUAAAGAAGUGCAAUGUAAAUCUGUAAGUGGUACUAACUAAAUACAUAACCCAAAUCAUACAGCUUGAAAAACUAAGGUACAAAUUAAAAAUAUAUUUUUAUUACAAAUUUAAACAUUUAUAUGAAAAAAACAUUAAUUGUCAAUAUUUCAAUCAUUUCAACCAUUCAUUUUCAUCUACAUUUAUUGUUUUAACUUUAAAGCCUGUUAUCUAAAGAUCAAUUUAUCUAUACUAUAAAUUCUAAAUCUAAAAAAUUACAUUUGUAACACAUAUUACAUACAUAUUUUCUGUAAAGUAUUUCAUUCCUUUAUAUUUCUGUCCAAAUAUUAAUUAUUUUUACUAUAAUUUUUUUUCCUAUUCACUUAAAUAUUUUGUCAUGUAAAAUUUUUGUUUUAAAAUACAUUAUUCUUUACACAGUUCAGUCACAAGAAAACUUUGGCAAACAUACCACUGAACAAUCCAUCAAUGAAGAACGAAUCAUUUGAAAAAAUUGGAUACUAUCAGUUACAAAACCAACAACAGGAACCAAAAAUGACCAUCAUGGUAAAACUAGAGUUUUAAUAAGCCCAUCCCCACAGAGCCUAGCCUAAAAAUAACAAAGGCAGGUCAAAGAUUCCUAGCUAUGGCUAAGGAAGUGCAUUGUAAGUCUGUAACUGAUGGCAACAAAAUACAUAAAUUACAACAUAACGACCCAAAAAAACAUGGUACUUUAAUCUUAACACCAAAAAUAUUGUUUUUCAAAAAUAGCAAUAUAUUCAAACAAAUAUAUUUAUUUAUUUUUAUAUCAAAUUUUAUAAA